This 203-nucleotide unclassified non-coding RNA is filed under the name Hevea brasiliensis (rubber tree). The record is from RNAcentral. Lineage: Eukaryota; Viridiplantae; Streptophyta; Magnoliopsida; Malpighiales; Euphorbiaceae.
GCACCUUAAGCCUUUAAUAACUAUACUUAUUGUUAAAAUAGUAGUAAUAUCUGAAGAGCUAAGUCAAUUUCCUUAAACUAGGGCAAACAUAGCCAAAAGAAUCUAAAAAGGGAGUAAAUCAAUACUUGAUAACAUGGUACCACAUCGUUAAAUUCUCUCACAAUGAAAGGAAGACUAGAUGGCAAUGUAGGCACAAGGCAGGC